AUGGAAUGUCCUCUACCGUUUGGUGGAAAGGUUGUCGUCUUUGGUGGGGAUUUUAGGCAGGUCCUCCCCGUUGUGACCUGGGGGACAAGAGCACAGAUCACGGAUGCUACACUUUUGAGAUCCUAUUUGUGGGAGAACAUCCGCAAGAUACGCCUCACGCGUAAUAUGCGAGCACAAGCGGACCCUUGGUUCUCUGAAUACCUCCUUAGGAUAGGCAAUGGAAUGGAAGAAACAAUUGGCGACGACUAUGUGUGUCUCCCUGAAGACAUUGUGAUUUCUUAUAUCGAGGACGAAGAACCUGUUAACAAGCUCAUCAAAGAUGUCUUCCCAUCCCUGCACACCAAUGCUAUGUCGAGAGAGUAUAUGAGCACACGUGCAAUCCUCUCGACCAAAAACGAGCAUGUGGAUGACCUAAAUGACAAGAUGAUCUCCAGGUUUCCAGACGAAGAAAAGGUGUACCAAAGCUUUGACUGUAUCGAGGAUGACUUCCAAAAUAAUUACACGAUUGAUUUGCUGAACUCGCUCACACCAAAUGGGUUGCCCCCGCAUGUGUUGAGAGUAAAAAUGAACUGCCCGGUCAUUUUGCUGCGGAACCUCGACCCUCAUAAUGGGCUAUGUAAUGGAAUACGACUUACGAUCAGAGCUUUCCAGGAUAAUGCAAUCGAUGCGGAGAUUGUUGGUGGUCAGCAUGCCGGAAAGAGGGUGUUCAUACCUAGGAUCCCUAUGUCACCCUCGGAGGACACCUCACUUCCCUUCAAGCUUAAGAGAAAAUAG
This 774-nucleotide ribosomal RNA is filed under the name Triticum aestivum (bread wheat). RNAcentral describes it as "partial small subunit ribosomal RNA". Lineage: Eukaryota; Viridiplantae; Streptophyta; Magnoliopsida; Poales; Poaceae. The record is from RNAcentral.